GACGAACGCUGGCGGCGUGCUUAACACAUGCAAGUCGAACGGAAAGGCCCUGCUUGCAGGGUACUCGAGUGGCGAACGGGUGAGUAACACGUGGGUGAUCUGCCCUGCACUUCGGGAUAAGCCUGGGAAACUGGGUCUAAUACCGGAUAGGAGCCAUUUUUAGUGUGAUGGUUGGAAAGUUUUGUCGGUGUAGGAUGAGCUCGCGGCCUAUCAGCUUGUUGGUGGGGUAAUGGCCUACCAAGGCGGCGACGGGUAGCCGGCCUGGGAGGGUGGACGGCCACAUUGGGACUGAGAGACGGCCCAGACUCCUACGGGAGGCAGCAGUGGGGAAUAUUGCACAAUGGGCGCAAGCCUGAUGCAGCGACGCCGCGGGGGGGAUGACGGCCUUCGGGUUGGAAACUCCUUUCGCUAGGGACGAAGCUUUUUGUGACGGUACCUAGAUAAGAAGCACCGGCUAACUACGUG
Molecule: ribosomal RNA, 465 nt
Filed under: uncultured bacterium
Lineage: Bacteria
Description: partial 16S ribosomal RNA
Rfam family: Bacterial small subunit ribosomal RNA
Source: RNAcentral